RNAcentral lists this small RNA (125 nucleotides) under Marmota monax (woodchuck). The record is from RNAcentral. Lineage: Eukaryota; Metazoa; Chordata; Mammalia; Rodentia; Sciuridae.
GCUGGGUGUGGUGGCACAUGCCUAUAAUCCCAGCCUCUUGGGAGGCUGAGGCAGGAGGAUCACGAGUUCAAAGCCAGCCUCAGCAAAAGCGAGGCACUAAGCAACUCAGUGAGGCCCUGUCUCUA